UACGAGUGCCUCGAGCGUUAUCCGGAAUCAUUGGGCGUAAAGGGUGCGUAGGCGGCGAUGUUAGUCUCCCGUAAAAUCUUUCGGCUCAACCGAGAGUCCGCGGGAGAUACGGCAUUGCUAGAGGAUGGUAGGGGUCUCUGGAACUCAUGGUGUAGCGGUGAAAUGCGUUGAUAUCAUGGGGAACACCAAAAGCGAAGGCAAGAGACUGGACCACUCCUGACGCUGAAGCACGAAAGCGUGGGUCGCGAAUGGG
RNAcentral lists this ribosomal RNA (253 nucleotides) under uncultured bacterium. Its description in RNAcentral is "partial 16S ribosomal RNA". It matches the Rfam family "Bacterial small subunit ribosomal RNA", at positions 524 to 776 of the family's 1533-position model. The record is from RNAcentral.